Drosophila melanogaster (fruit fly) is the source of this 677-nucleotide non-coding RNA. The record is from Ensembl. Lineage: Eukaryota; Metazoa; Arthropoda; Insecta; Diptera; Drosophilidae.
GAGUGUGCUUUGCAGUUGUCACUUGCGUGCCCAAAGCAAAACUGUCAAAAAGCAUAUGACAAACAUUUGUCGUCGGCUGACAAAACCCAGAAAUGAGCCAGACAUACAUACAUAGGGAGACACCCGAGUUCUGUAUGCAUAUCAAACGAAAUUUAUUUUUCCGUGAAAAAACGAAAGAUAAAACGGAAUAAACGGAAAAUUGCUUUAAGGAAGUGCGUCCUGCGCCCUGUCGUUCUCCUUUGACCUCUCGUGCCGCGCUCCUUAGUCAUCCUCGCUGACAUCCAAAAUGGUCUUAAAGGCAAAAGGCUCAAAGGCGUAACCAGCGCCCUCGUAGAACUUGCUCAUGAACUCAACCCUGAAAGAGCAAAUCGCAGGUUAAAAUGCAUCUGAAUUGUGUCCUCAUUAUUCGCAACUCACCAGUGCAAACGCAGUGUGUGCAAGAAGGCCGAGAGUCCUUCGAUGAGCACCAGGAUACCGACUGUGAGCAACGCCCAGGCUCCAAAGAAUACGUAGAUGAGAAUGCCGCCAAUAUAGCUGUCGUACUUGAAUCCCAUGGAAAACACCAUGUUCCACAGUACUUCGGAGAGCUCUGUAAACAUGAAACAUAAUAUAUUAUUGAAAAUGAAUAAUAAUUAUAUAAAAGGAAAUCAAUACAACAAUACGUUUAAAAAUUUAAU